ACAUCCAGAGAACUUAGCAGAGAUGCUUUGGUGCCUUCGGGAACUCUGAGACAGGUGCUGCAUGGCUGUCGUCAGCUCGUGUUGUGAAAUGUUUGGGGUUAAAGUCCCGCAACGAGCGCAACCCUUAUCCUUUGUUGCCAGCGGCUCGGCCGGGAACUCAAAGGAGACCGCCGGUGAUAAACCGGAGGAAGGUGGGGAUGACGUCAAGUCAUCAUGGCCCUUACGGCCAGGGCUACACACGUGCUACAAUGGCGCAUACAAAGAGAAGCGACCUCGCGAGAGCAAGCGGACCUCACAAAGUGCGUCGUAGUCCGGAUUGGAGUCUGCAACUCGACUCCAUGAAGUCGGAAUCGCUAGUAAUCGUAGAUCAGAAUGCUACGGUGAAUACGUUCCCGGGCCUUGUACACACCGCCCGUCACACCAUGGGAGUGGGUUGCAAAAGAAGUAGGUAGCUUAACCUUCGGGAGGGCGCUUACCACUUUGUGAUUCAUGACUGGGGUGAAGUCGUAACAAGGUAGGCGUAGCGAG
Molecule: ribosomal RNA, 528 nt
Filed under: uncultured bacterium
Lineage: Bacteria
Description: bacterial SSU rRNA
Rfam family: Bacterial small subunit ribosomal RNA
Source: RNAcentral